CCAAUUCAGGAGGAAACCCAAUAAAUCUGGGAAAACCUCCUUUGUGGGAAUCGAACCCAUGACCUAAUGGUCAUAAGCCUUAUCCCACCCCCAAGAUACCACUAGACUACAAUGUCAUGGGUAACAGGGAAUUACUCAACUUGCUAAGGAAUCAUUAGGGUUUGAGAAUUGGGGAUGAUGAAGGUGUGGGGAAUGGUGUAGAGAGAGAAAGUGUGUGUAAAUUAAAUAGGGAAAUUAAUAAGUUUGAGUGGGAAAAGACUAAAAUGCCCCUCACAUGAGGGGCAUGUGAUUAGGAUUUAAUAGUUGAAUUGGAUGGCGUUAGGGGCGGGGAGUGAAACCAUUUACUAUUUGAUAUGGAUUUUGUUGCGGGACCAGAAGAACCUCCGCCUCUUGUGCCAGUGCCUGCUGCUUUCGGACAUGUUUUUAGAGACGAAGUUCGACUCGCCAAGGCACCACCGCCAGCUCCACCUCUACCAAUGGGUCCACUACUACAAAUGCAACCAUUACAUAUACCACGCCCAAGAUUCUACCUCUGUGAUACGUUACAACGACCCCGCACUUGCAAUUCAUGCUGCUGCAGAUGAUAUGGGGGCGUUAAACACACAGAACAUGUUUGAAUGACAUCAGCGUGUUGUUCAAUCCCUUGGAAUUAUGAACCAGAGUGUCAGUUUACUUACACAAAGGCCCAACAUAAGAAGGAGAUACCCCAGAGACGAAGACAGAAUGUCCGAUUAUUUUGGGGCCAACAUAUUACAGCAUGCUAAUAUGUCGGGGAGACACUCAAUAGAAGACUUCAACAGUUCAACUAUGUGGUUUGGCCGAUAUCGGGUAAUGCUGAGAUAAUUCCUAUUGUCGUUGUAUACUUGAAUGGUUUUCAUACAUUAUUUUAUGGCCGGGGAGACAUGUCCUAUCCACAAUUUCGGACUCAAGUUGCAAGCGUCUGCAACACCGGUUAUAAUGCGUUUUCGUUGUGGUAUGCACUUGAAAAGGAGUACGUCCCUCUUGAUACGGUUUUGAAUUGGACUGACUGUAUACAUAACUAUGAUGCUUUUGAGAUGAGACGACGGGAAUUAUUGGCGGUGGGUAUUUGAGUCUUUUAACGUGUUUGGGUGAGGGGUGGGGGUGAAUUCUAUGAUAGGUUAGGAUGUUGAUAAUCAUGGUGGUGACAACAUGUUCUUUUGGGAUAACUUACUGAUUAGUUUAUUUGGGUGAACAUUUUGUAAAGUUUGAAUGUUACUUUUAGGAUAGCUUACUGAUUAGUUUAUUCGGGUGAACAUUUUGUAUUGGGAUAACUUACUGAUUAGUUUAUUCGGGUGAACCUUUUGUAAUUGGGAUAGCUUACUGAUUAGUUUAUCCCAUAUUAUGUUCACCCGAAUAAACUAAAGAGAUGCAGCUAAAGGAAGCCAUUGAUGGAGUGGUUUUAGAUGCCCUUGCUGACAAGGGUAUUAUGGAUGUUGCUCGCGUAUUUGUUCAAGAGGCUGGUAAAGAAGAUGCUGAAUUGGAUACUGAGUUUCAUGCAAAGUGUCAAAGAGUCAGAGACCUAAUUUCGGAUCGAGAAUUAUCAAGAAGCCAUUGAGUUCUUCAAUGGUUUACAAAUGGUGACAUUUUUCUUACAAUUUAUUUUUAGAUAUGGUUUAUGUAUAUGCUUAUAGAUUUUAAUAUAAUAUUAUUAUUGUUCAUACCUUUGAAACCCACCCAAAGUUAAUCUUUGACAUUUUUCUUA
Helianthus annuus (common sunflower) is the source of this 1723-nucleotide long non-coding RNA. RefSeq lists it as uncharacterized. The record is from RefSeq and is a predicted model, not a curated record. NCBI's taxonomy places the organism in Eukaryota, Viridiplantae, Streptophyta, Magnoliopsida, Asterales, Asteraceae. The transcript has 2 exons.